This 1438-nucleotide ribosomal RNA is filed under the name uncultured bacterium. RNAcentral's name for it is "bacterial SSU rRNA". It matches the Rfam family "Bacterial small subunit ribosomal RNA". The record is from RNAcentral.
AGAGUUUGAUCCUGGCUCAGGAUGAAUGCUGGCGGCGUGGAUGAGGCAUGCAAGUCAAGGGGACCGCAAGGUAACCGGCAGACGAGGUAGUAAUACGCAGGUACAUACCGAAGAGUCAGGUAUAGCUCGUCGAAAGACGGGGUAAUCCCUGAUAGUCCCGCAAGGGUAAAGGAGUCUAAUUUAUUAGACUUGCGCUUUUUGAAUGGCCUGCGCCGCAUCAGGUAGUUGGUAGGGUAAUGGCCUACCAAGCCUAUGACGCGUAGGGGAGCUGAGAGGCUGACCCCCACCGAUGGGACUGAGACACGGCCCAUACACCUACGGGUGGCUGCGGUCGAGAAUCUUCCGCAAUGGGCGAAAGCCUGACGGAGCGACGCCGCGUGAUUGAUGAAGUCCUUCGGGACGUAAAGAUCUUUUAUGCGUGAGAAAGUUAUUGAUAGUAGCGCAUGAAUAAGGGGCUCCUAACUCUGUGCCAGCAGGAGCGGUAAUACAGAGGCCCCAAGCAUUAUCCGGAAUCACUGGGCGUAAAGGGUGUGUAGGCGGCUAUGUAGUCUUUUGUGAAAGAUCCCCGGCUUAACCGGGGAGACGCAGGGGAAACGGCAUAGCUUGAGGGUAUGAGAGGUAAAGGGAACUCAUGGUGUAGGGGUGAAAUCCGUUGAUAUCAUGGGGAACACCAAAUGCGAAGGCACUUUACUGGCAUACUCCUGACGCUGAAACACGAAAGCGUGGGAAUCGAAUGGGAUUAGAUACCCCAGUAGUCCACGCCCUAAACGAUCCUAACUAGUUAUGAGGAGUAUCGACCCUCUUCGUGACGUAGCUAACGCGUUAAGUUAGGCGCCUGGGUAGUACGAUCGCAAGAUUAAAACUCAAAGGAAUAGACGGGGACUUGCACAAGCGGUGGAUCAUGCGGCUCAAUUCGAUGAUAAACGAAGAACCUCACCAGGGUUAGAAACCAAGACGAUUGCUCCGGGAAACCGGAGAGUCCGCAAGGCGGCUUGGCAGGUGAUGCAUGGUCGUCGUCAGUUCGUGGCUUGAGUUGUUCCCUUCAGUGGGGUAAAGAACAACAACCCUCGUUGCCUGUUUUAUAUGUCAGGCGAGACUGCCCCCUCACGGGGGAGGAAGGUGAGGAUGACGCCAGAUCAGCAUGUCCCUCUGAUAUCCUGGGCUGCACGCAUGAUACAAUGGGCGUGACAACGCGACGCGACGGGGUAACCCUGAGCAAAUCGUAAUAAACACGCCCCCAGUUCGGAUUGAGGUCUGCAACUCGACCUCAUGAAGCCGGAAUCGCUAGUAAUCGCGGGUCAGCUAUACCGCGGUGAAUACGUUCUCAAGUCUUGUACUCACCGCCCGUCAACUCAAGGGAGCCGGGAAUACCCGAAGCCCAACGCAAGUUGGUUCACGGUAAGUUCGGUGACAGGGAGUAAGUCGUAACAAGGUAGCC